Molecule: unclassified non-coding RNA, 313 nt
Filed under: Hevea brasiliensis (rubber tree)
Lineage: Eukaryota; Viridiplantae; Streptophyta; Magnoliopsida; Malpighiales; Euphorbiaceae
Source: RNAcentral
AUCGCCAAUCGACUGGUACUUCGCAACGAUUUCAUACUAUCUCUCAAAUCAUCCAUUUUAUACUCUUUUGGUGAAUCUCUUCCAUUUCUCUCUUCUCGUAAUUCUCUCUUCAUCGACAUCGUCACAAACGCACUGUAAAAUUCACAGAUCUCACGCUCUAUGCGAAUGUCCGUUACUCUUCUUCUUCACGCAGUAAACACAAAAUCAUCAGAAGUUAAAGCUGAUUUGGAUUGAUUUCUCUGAGUGUGUGCAUAAGCUGAAUGGAUUAUCUGCAAAUCGAACUGUAGAAAAUUCGAAAGUUCUGCUAGUUUAG